AAUGCCUACGGGGGGCAGCAGUGGGGGAUAUUGCACAAUGGGGGAAACCCUGAUGCAGCGAUGCCGCGUGAAUGAAGACGGCCUUCGGGUUGUAAAGUUCUGUCGCAGGGGACGAAAAUGACGGUACCCUGCAAGAAAGCUCCGGCUAACUACGUGCCAGCAGCCGCGGUAAUACGUAGGGGGCAAGCGUUAUCCGGAUUUACUGGGUGUAAAGGGAGCGUAGACGGCGAUGCAAGUCUGAAGUGAAAGGCGGGGGCCCAACCCCCGGACUGCUUUGGAAACUGUAUGGCUGGAGUGCAGGAGAG
This 305-nucleotide ribosomal RNA is filed under the name uncultured bacterium. RNAcentral describes it as "partial 16S ribosomal RNA". It matches the Rfam family "Bacterial small subunit ribosomal RNA", at positions 334 to 656 of the family's 1533-position model. The record is from RNAcentral.